Molecule: ribosomal RNA, 476 nt
Filed under: uncultured bacterium
Lineage: Bacteria
Description: bacterial SSU rRNA
Rfam family: Bacterial small subunit ribosomal RNA
Source: RNAcentral
GGGGGCCCGCAAGCGGUGGAGCAUGUGGUUUAAUUCGAAGCAACGCGCAGAACCUUACCAGCCCUUGACAUGGGCGUCGCGGGUGGGGAGACCCACCCUUCGGUUCGGCCGGACGCCGCACAGGUGCUGCAUGGCUGUCGUCAGCUCGUGUCGCGAGAUGUUGGGUUAAGUCCCGCAACGAGCGCAACCCCCAUCCUCAGUUGCCAGCAUGUAAUGGUGGGCACUCUGGGGAAACCGCCGGUGACAAGCCGGAGGAAGGCGGGGAUGACGUCAAGUCCUCAUGGCCCUUAUGGGCUGGGCUACACACGUGCUACAAUGGUGGUGACAGUGGGCAGCGAGAUCGCGAGAUCGAGCCAAUCUCCAAAAGCCAUCUCAGUUCGGAUUGCACUCUGCAACUCGGGUGCAUGAAGUUGGAAUCGCUAGUAAUCGCGGAUCAGCACGCCGCGGUGAAUACGUUCCCGGGCCUUGUACACACC